UCGAAGAGGCUUCUACAGUCA
RNAcentral lists this non-coding RNA (21 nucleotides) under Caenorhabditis elegans. Lineage: Eukaryota; Metazoa; Nematoda; Chromadorea; Rhabditida; Rhabditidae. The record is from RNAcentral.